This is a long non-coding RNA of Talpa occidentalis (Iberian mole), 3869 nucleotides long. RefSeq lists it as uncharacterized. The transcript is spliced from 3 exons. NCBI's taxonomy places the organism in Eukaryota, Metazoa, Chordata, Mammalia, Eulipotyphla, Talpidae. The record is from RefSeq and is a predicted model, not a curated record.
GAGCAGCAGGUGGAUGGACCGGUGCUCCUGCCGCUCCCGCCGGGCGGCUCCAGGGAAGGCUGUGCCUUUUUGUUUCCGCCUCAAUAUCCGGGACCUACUACAUGCUGGGCACGGGGAGGAAAACCUGGAAACGAGUGGCAGGAGGCGCUGAGGCUUUGCGCCAGUCUUGAGACAAGAGUCAGAAAACCUUCCAUCCUCAGGACAACCUGAGAAAGAUGAUGAAAAAACGGGCCAUUUCCCAGUGUUUAACAACGAACACGCAACCCCCUGAGCCAAGACAGCGCUGUGUGGAGUCCUCACUGUCCUCAGGAUGCGAGUGUGGAGUGGAAUUACCCACCAUUCAACUGAGAAGUGUGGAGCCAGGCCUUGCCUGAGGAUCCGGGAAGACAGUGAUGUGGGACAAGGACUAAGCCUGUCACGGAGCAGGCAGACAACCGGGCUCAGCGGGGAGCUCUGAUAAUCGCCGCUGCAGGGCACAGCCAACUCAGAGCAUGUCCAAAUGGCGGCUUGUGGAGCAACAAGUGUGGGCAGAGCCAGUGACCGAGAAGAUCACUCAGCAGGACAGCAAUCAAGCGGCCUCUCUCUCUCCUCCCUGCUUUGAAAUGGGGACAUAAUUUUGAGAAUCUGGGCAUUUAUUCCAUGCCCAGAUCAGUCAGUGUUGUACAUGACAGACUCAGAGCAAACUGGUAACUGACGUGUGUUUGGGGACCAUACCCGUGAGGCUGUUCCAGUCCUGGGGGUGCCCCCAACCCCCACGAGGCAUCACCUUCUACCACUGAGGGAGCCUCUGGUAGGUGCUUCUCUUCCCCAGCUUUGUAAAGGAAGAGACUCAUUCGCUGGCCACACUCAACAAAUAUUGAUCAGAUGGCUGAGCCAAAGAAUGAAUGAGUGGCAUCUUCUCCCUCGAAUGUGCUCUUGGCUGUCCACUGAGUUCAUUCCUCUAGUGCCUUAAUGGAAUUAGGCCUUCUAGAAUUCCUUAUCUGCAGUUCCAGGACCCAGACAGCUGAGCCGAUGGGCUGAGACUCUUAUCACUUGUUGGAGGAAUGACUUGCGCUCCUCAGGUGUAAACUGGGAUAAGGAUACUUAUUGCCUUUAUUUGCUUGUAGGCCUGCCAGAACAGGGAGAAAUGAAUUUCUUCCAGUCCUGGAGGCUGGGAAGUCCAAGAUCAAAGUGCUGGCAGAUUCUGUGUCUGGUGAGGGUCAGUGUCCUGGUCCCUGGUGGCCAUCUUUUUGCUAUGUCCUCACAUGGUGCCCUGGGGAGUCACUGGGCACUAACCCCACGGACUUGGACCCCAUCCUCAUGCCCUAAUCACCUGCCAAAGAAACUAUCUCCAAGUGCCAUCCUGUUGGGGAUCAGGUUUCAACAUGGGAAUGUGGGGGUUCACAAUCACUCAGCCCAGAGCAUUAUCAUGGUAUCUACUUCCUGUCGGGAAACUGAGGGACACACUUCUGAUGAAGCUGAUAAUCAGAGAACGUGGCUCAGGGGUGGGAGCAGGUGUGCCGCCUGAUGAUAAGCACCCCAUCCCAGACAGCACUAACACUCACACGCCUCUCUCUGGGGGUACCUGACCAGCCCCGGCCAGAAAGCCCCUUCCCCGCAGGCAGGCAGAGUCCACAGCGGGCUGAGCUUGCCCAGUUCCUUCUCCCAAGAUCUCCAUUUGGAAAAGCUGCUUCUCUUCCCAAGGGAGGAAUGGGUGUGGAAGUAGAGAGAGAGGAGUGUUCCACACCUAGGGGAGAGGGGCACCCCAAUUCCAAGGGGUAGGAGCACCCUAGUUACUGCCUGGCUUUUACCUUUGUGCAGUAGAAUUCAAAGCGAAAAGCAUCAUGACAAAAGAUAAUGUGGUAAAGAGAAGUUGCUGCUACAGAUUGAAUAAGAUCCCCUUCCCGGUUCACGAGUUGAUCCCAUCCCCAAUAUCUCAGAGUGUGACCUUAUUUGGAAAUAGUGUUGUGCAGAUGUCAUUAGUUAAAAUGCAGUCAUUAGCGUGAACCCUAAUCCCACGUGGCUGGUGUCCCCGCGAAUGGGAAAUUUGGACACGGACAUGCACAGAGGACCAUGUGAGGACACAUGGCUGAGCCAGUCACCUUCCCUAGGUCACAGAGAUGGGGCAGGAAUGGACCCUCCCUCACAGCCCUGCAAAGGAACAAACCCUGCCCUCACCUUGAUCCUGGACUUCCAGCCUCCUGAACCCAGAGACAGUGCAGAUAUGUAAGCAGAGAGUGCCUCAGGCUCCUGCCACACCUUUUUCAUCCUAGGACUCAAAAGCUACCCUCAGCAUGGGCUUACCUGGCGUAGUGUCCUUGAGCCUCUGUCACAUUUGGAUUGCUUAUGAGGUCAUAGUUGCUUAUGAGGUCACCCAACUGGUGCCAUUGUGUUAAGGCAGCCCCAGCAACCUGGUGCAGACAACUUUCACAACAAGUGUGAAACUGUGCCACCGAGCAUUGCGACAAAAUCUGCAAAGGGAAGCAGCUAAAAAUUUCUUAAUGAACACGAAGGAGCCCUGUGUAGCCCAGAGGAACAUAGAGCAGGGAUUACCUGCCAUGGAACGGUGGGCCCGGCCCGGGCAGGGGUGGCUGGGUGGCCGGGCUCCAGGGACUGAAUUCGAGCUCACACUAGCAUGAUUUCCUGUGUCAGAUGCUGGCACUCAGCGCUCUCCCCACCCUCCUGAGCUCUUACUUGUGUCCUGGGCCCAGAUGCCAGAUACUGGCAUUUCCCAGACUCUUGCGGGCAAUGUUCCUGUUAUGACUCUCCUGAGGAAAACCUUCCUGUAAGAUCUGGAAUGCAGGCUAGAAGCAGGUGCCACUCCUCUCAGCAGCAGCUCACAGUGGGCAUGUGAGCAUCAGCAGGUCGAAGAAGUAUGCUCUUCUGGUGGUCCCAGGUGUCCCGUGGGGAACCUUCCAGGUGGGAAGGUUGACAGCAGCUCCUGCUUAUGGAAAGCCAGCUCCUCCCCUGACCUUUCCUUCCUUGACCCAGCCAAGUAGCUCAAGUGUCCUGUUCCCUACAUUCAAUCUCCUCCUACUUAGGGGAAAAGAUUGUGUGGCUGGAAAGUCAGGAGUCAGCCAACACAGUUCACAUUUUCACCUUCAGCGGCUGGAAGGGCUGCGUUUCCCAGGCUCCCUGGCAUGUCAGGGAAGCCGCAGGUAGGUGUUCUGGCUCUGAAAUUCUCUGGCAGGCAAGAAGUUCUCUUAUGUGGCUUCCCUUUCCUGGCGGAUACAGAGAGUGCAAUGGGGGCCAGUGAGAGCCAGGGGGAAGGUGAUGUCAGGUGGAGCAACAUGGACCCCACAAUCACCAAUGGUGGGGCCUUCACCACAGGCCCCAGUAUCCAUGAUUUGAGGGGGAAAUUGCCUCUAUGCAAGUCACUUGUCACAGCAUUAGCACUGUUUACCCUAGUUGAUGAGUCCAAGAAAUCAGAAAUGCUUUUGUAUUUAUAAAUAACUCAUGUAGUCUGUCCCAACCAUCUCCUUAUGCCUUUUUUUUCUUUUUUCAAAUGAUUUCAUGGACAAUAAGGGAGAAAAUACUGACCUCAGUGCCAUGUCGAUUCUAUACCCACAUCUGUAUUAUCUGGUCAUGCAAAGGUAUAAUGCUUAUAAAUGUCAGUGGUAACUGAUUUUCCAAUCCCUGUCAUAGAAAAUGAUGCAUUUUUCACUUCUUGGAAAUUUGGAUAUUUACAUUUUGAUGGAGAAAUCUUCCAUUUCAAAAUCACUGCCAUAAGUUGCAGGUACUGCGUAAAAGGAUCUUUCAAGACCUAUUUAUCUCACUUUUUGAUGAAAAGGGCAGAGACUACUGCCUCUGUUGAAUCUUCUCAACCCCCACACCUCUGGCCUGUACCCCAGUUCUUGUAUGCAUAAAUAAAUAAAUCUUAAAAAAAAAGA